AGAUGGGUGGUACCAUACUUCCUGACUUUUUCCUGUGUGAUCUCUCCUGUUUCUCGAGGAAUCAGUAUGCAGCAGAAACAUGUGCCAGCUUUGCUCAGGCGAGCACCAUGUACUCUCACCUUGGUGCCACUUUGUCACUGCUGUCCACAAAUAGUGUUGGAAUAUGCACAAUUACCAAAGGGGUGGAAAAGUUUGCAGAGGGCCUUGCAAGAGUACAGCAGAGGC
Mus musculus (house mouse) is the source of this 225-nucleotide long non-coding RNA. RefSeq annotates it as predicted gene, 36597. The transcript has 3 exons. Lineage: Eukaryota; Metazoa; Chordata; Mammalia; Rodentia; Muridae. The record is from RefSeq and is a predicted model, not a curated record.